This 1931-nucleotide ribosomal RNA is filed under the name Myroides odoratimimus CCUG 10230. RNAcentral's name for it is "bacterial LSU rRNA". It matches the Rfam family "Bacterial large subunit ribosomal RNA", at positions 977 to 2925 of the family's 2925-position model. Lineage: Bacteria; Pseudomonadati; Bacteroidota; Flavobacteriia; Flavobacteriales; Flavobacteriaceae. The record is from RNAcentral.
UCAUCAGUGAGGGCAUGGGUGCUAAGGUCCAUGUCCGAGAGGGAAAGAACCCAGACCAUCAGCUAAGGUCCCCAAAUGUAUGCUAAGUUGAAAAAACGCGGUUUGAUUGCCCAGACAGCUAGGAUGUUGGCUUGGAAGCAGCCAUUCAUUUAAAGAGUGCGUAACAGCUCACUAGUCGAGCGAUCGAGCAUGGAUAAUAAUCGGGCAUAAGUAUACUACCGAAGCUAUGGAUUUGCGCAUUUAGUUGCGUGAGUGGUAGGGGAGCAUUCUAACGGCGCAGAAGGUGAUUUGUGAGAAUUGCUGGAGCUUUUAGAAAAGAAAAUGUAGGCAUAAGUAACGAUAAGGGGUGCGAGAAACACCCCCGCCGUAAGACUAAGGUUUCCUCAGCUAUGCUAAUCAGCUGAGGGUUAGUCGGGACCUAAGGCACACCCGAAGGGGGACGUCGAUGGCCAACGGGUUAAUAUUCCCGUACUACUGAUAAUUGUGAUGGAGUGACACAGUGAUGAAAGCACCGCGAACUGACGGAAUAGUUCGUUGAAGCACGUACCUAUAGGUUUGAUAGUAAAAUGCGUCGGACUUGGAGAAAUGCGAUAGUACUUUGAGUCUUCGGACAACGAGAUAGUGUGCCUAAGGGCUGUCAAGAAAAGCUUCUAAACUUAGAUUAUUAGUACCCGUACCGUAAACCGACACAGGUAGUCGAGGAGAGUAUCCUAAGGCGCUCGAGAGAUUCAUGGCUAAGGAACUAGGCAAAAUAGACCUGUAACUUCGGGAGAAAGGUCGCCAGCGCAAGCUGGCCGCAGUGAAAAGGUCCAGGCGACUGUUUAUCAAAAACACAGGGCUCUGCAAAAUCGUAAGAUGACGUAUAGGGCCUGACACCUGCCCGGUGCUGGAAGGUUAAGAGGAGAUGUUAUCGAUGAGUAAUUGUUGAGAAGCAUUGAAUUGAAGCCCCAGUAAACGGCGGCCGUAACUAUAACGGUCCUAAGGUAGCGAAAUUCCUUGUCGGGUAAGUUCCGACCUGCACGAAUGGUGUAACGAUCUGGACACUGUCUCAGCCAUGAGCUCGGUGAAAUUGUAGUAUCGGUGAAGAUGCCGAUUACCCGCAGUGGGACGAAAAGACCCUGUGCACCUUUACUAUAGCUUAGUAUUGUUCUUGGAUAAGUGAUGUGUAGGAUAGGUGGGAGACUGUGAAAUGGCGUCGCUAGGCGUUGUGGAGUCAUUGUUGAAAUACCACCCUUUGCUUAUUUGAGAUCUAACUCCUUGUGUAAGGAGGACAUUGCUUGGUGGGUAGUUUGACUGGGGUGGUCGCCUCCAAAAGAGUAACGGAGGCUUCUAAAGGUUCCCUCAGCACGCUUGGUAACCGUGCGUAGAGUGCAAUGGUAUAAGGGAGCUUGACUGAAAGACUAACAAGUCGAACAGGUACGAAAGUAGAGCAUAGUGAUCCGGUGGUUCCGCAUGGAAGGGCCAUCGCUCAAAGGAUAAAAGGUACGCCGGGGAUAACAGGCUGAUCUCCCCCAAGAGCUCAUAUCGACGGGGGGGUUUGGCACCUCGAUGUCGGCUCGUCACAUCCUGGGGCUGGAGAAGGUCCCAAGGGUUGGGCUGUUCGCCCAUUAAAGUGGCACGCGAGCUGGGUUCAGAACGUCGUGAGACAGUUCGGUCUCUAUCUACUGUGGGCGUUAGAAAUUUGAGUGGAUCUGAUUCUAGUACGAGAGGACCGAAUUGGACCAACCUCUAGUGCAUCUGUUGUCUCGCCAGGGGCAUCGCAGAGUAGCUACGUUGGGAAGGGAUAAGCGCUGAAAGCAUAUAAGUGCGAAACCCACCACAAGAUGAGAUUUCUUUAAAGGGUCGUUGGAGAUUACAACGUUGAUAGGCUAUAGAUGUAAAGACAGUAAUGUCAAAGUCGAGUAGUACUAAUAACCCGUAAGCUUAUGUGA